RNAcentral lists this non-coding RNA (182 nucleotides) under Candidatus Eiseniibacteriota bacterium. RNAcentral's name for it is "Candidatus Eisenbacteria bacterium 6S RNA". It matches the Rfam family "6S / SsrS RNA". Rfam says of the family: E. coli 6S RNA was the first non coding RNA to be sequenced, but its function was unknown until recently. It consists of 184 nucleotides that fold into an extended hairpin structure with a large single-stranded internal bulge. Lineage: Bacteria; Candidatus Eiseniibacteriota. The record is from RNAcentral.
GGCGCCCUGCCAUGUACGUGAUACACCAGGCAUUUUUGAGCCACGACUCAAAAGCAGGGAGCCCGAACCUUCGGCAUAGCGGAAGCCCGGCCUCAUGCGGGCGGCGCGAACCCGAAGCUGGGGCGCCCACCUGGAGAAUCCAGGUUCAAAAGUCUCGUGUGCACGGCAUUGGCGGGGCUUUU